Molecule: ribosomal RNA, 530 nt
Filed under: Acrobeloides sp. Sourhope farm
Lineage: Eukaryota; Metazoa; Nematoda; Chromadorea; Rhabditida; Cephalobidae
Description: SSU rRNA
Rfam family: Eukaryotic small subunit ribosomal RNA
Source: RNAcentral
GCAACCGCGAAUGGCUCAUAUAACAGCUAUAAUUUACUUGAUCUUGACACAAUCCUACUUGGAUAACUGUGGUAAUUCUAGAGCUAAUACAUGCAUUAAAGCUCUGACCUCACGGGAAGAGUGCAUUUAUUAGAACAAAACCAAGCGGCUUCGGCUGUUUCUGGUUGACUCAUAGUAACUGAGCUGAUCGCAUGGUCUUGCACCGGCGACGUGUCUUUCAAGUAUCUGCCGUAUCAACUUUCGAUGGUAGUGUAUCUGACUACCAUGGUGAUCACGCGUAACGGAGAAUAAGGGUUCGGCUCCGGAGAGUUCGCCUGAGAAAUCGCGAACACAUCUAAGGAAGGCAGCAGGCGCGAAAAUUACCCACUCUCAGCACGAGGAGGUAGUGACGAAAAAUAACGAGACCGUUCUCUUAUGAGGCCGGUCAUCGGAAUGGGUACAAUUUAAACCCUUUAACGAGUAUCUAUGAGAGGGCAAGUCUGGUGCCAGCAGCCGCGGUAAUUCCAGCUCUCAAAGUGCAUAGAAUUAUU